This 290-nucleotide long non-coding RNA is filed under the name Manacus vitellinus (golden-collared manakin). RNAcentral's name for it is "lncRNA (ENSMVIG00005015149.1)". The record is from RNAcentral. Lineage: Eukaryota; Metazoa; Chordata; Aves; Passeriformes; Pipridae.
AUGACAAUGACACUGCAAACAAGAACUCAUAGUAGGAAGUUAUCUGAGACUUUGGUUUUAAACAAUAUUCCUGGAAGUCAUCUUUUAGAACUACAAGAUAUUCACCACUUUGAUUCCCAACAGAAUGCUGUAGUGGGCGUGUGUGAAGAUGAAGAUCUGAAAGUUUCAGAAAUAUGAACAGAAGAAGAGAGCUGAAUGUUGAUGACGGUUGUGGGUUCUGGACCCUGGUUCUUCUGCCUGGUUAUGCUACCAGCCCACACCUCUGCCCAGCUAUGGUGUGGAGACCAGCU